Puntigrus tetrazona (Sumatra barb) is the source of this 1377-nucleotide long non-coding RNA. RefSeq lists it as uncharacterized. The record is from RefSeq and is a predicted model, not a curated record. The transcript has 5 exons. Lineage: Eukaryota; Metazoa; Chordata; Actinopteri; Cypriniformes; Cyprinidae.
GUGAACCGUACCACGACUAGCAAAGAAGAACCAAGGAGCUGUGCCUAGGGCAGUGUACACUCAUUGUAGGCAGGAUAUAGAAAUUGCAGACCAAACACAGUCGGUGGAAGAUCAUUAUCGCGUGAAUUUAUUCUUCCCCUUAUAGCUCACAUAACUAUGGAUGAGAGGUUCUCUGAAAGUAAUGAGUCUACAUGUGCAUCAACAUGAGUCCUUAAACGUGAGGAAUGAAGAUUCGACAGAUCUACAAGCAAUGAAGAGUCUACAGAUACACGACGGAUCGCCGUGGUGAUGUGAGUGACAGGCUGAAGUCCUGGCCAUCAGCAGAACGGUCCGUCACAAAGAAGUUUCAGAGCUCGAGGAAGUUUGACGUGAUAGAGCGCUGAAGUUCACAGCAUACGAGAGGCGCCCGAGGGCCCUGUCAGCUCUGCUUUGAUUUGGAUCCGGAUCUCAGGGCUGGAAAUAGAGAUUAACAGAUGGCGGAGUCUCAGGCUGAGCGUCCGGGCCGGGCCUCACCCACGCCGUCACAUCGCUGGGGGUUUCUCACCGUGCCCACACGAGAGCUGCGGGAUCCAAGCAGAAAUGUUCGUCGUGUCAUGGAAGGAUUUUUCAUAAAUCCACAGCAAAGUUAUUUAUGUAUGAGUCGGCGUGAAGUCUUGCAUUAGUUCUGGGUGAACGAGGAAGCAGAAUUGAAUCGGGUCGAGUGGAGGAGUGAAUAUCCGUCUCAUCAUCUCUCACUUCACUGAGUCAGAACACGAACGCCCGACGAACAGAACCAACAGAUGCAAGCGUGGACGCAUGAAUGGAGCUGAUCUCAAAGCACACAGGUGGGCAUACCUGCGCAACACAAUUAACACACGCAGCUGGUCAAAAGCAGCGUUCAAACACACACAAACGUCUUCAGACUGUCUGUUGGGGAUGCUGCCAGCCAUUAUUAUAUGUAUCAUUGUUAUUAACUAACAAGAAGCACAGGGUGUCAUUCUAUGGGUUUCUAAAUUUAGAUAAAAAUCUGUAAAAAUAGGGCAAACUGUUCUGCAUUAAUGUGAAUAUUAAUAAUAUGAUAUUUAGGUUUUUUGUGUGUUAUUUGGAUUUUUUGUUUUGCACUUUAUUGGGUUGUGUUUUAAGGUAACGGAAAUGCCCCGAUAUGAAUAUUUUUAUUUAAUAGUUUUACACUCAUCAGCUACUGUAAACUGGUUUUAUUGAUCUCAAAAAUAUUUCUAAUUUCGCCCGAAUAGAUUCAUUUGUGCCCAAAACUAUAUCUUGUAGAAAUGGCUCUUUAAGUAACACUUCAGGUUAAUAUCCUAGAGAGAAUGCUAAAUAAAUCCAAUUUUAUUAAAUUUGUUGUGUCAAAAUGAUUUAAUAGCCAAUUUAUUUAUGUGA